GAUGAACGCUGACAGAAUGCUUAACACAUGCAAGUCGAUGGGGAAGUGGUUCUUGCACCAUGGCAACCAUGGCGGACGGGUGAGUAACGCGUAAGGGACUUACCUGCAGGACUGGGAUAACAGGGGGAAACUCCUGACAAGACCGGAUAAUGUCAUGGAGCUGCAUGGCUUUAUGAUGAAAGGAGACGCCUGCGGAGAGCCUUGCGUCCUAUUAGCUAGUUGGUGAGGUAAUGGCUCACCAAGGCGAAGAUAGGUAGCCGGCCUGAGAGGGUGGACGGCCACGAGGGGACUGAGAUACGGCCCUUACUCCUACGGGAGGCAGCAGUGGGGAAUAUUGGACAAUGGGGGCAACCCUGAUCCAGCACUUCUGUGUGCACGAAGAAGGUUUUCGGAUUGUAAAGUGCUUUCAGCAGGGAAGAAGUAAGUGACGGUACCUGCAGAAGAAGCGACGGCUAAAUACGUG
This 463-nucleotide ribosomal RNA is filed under the name uncultured bacterium. RNAcentral describes it as "partial 16S ribosomal RNA". It matches the Rfam family "Bacterial small subunit ribosomal RNA", at positions 28 to 507 of the family's 1533-position model. The record is from RNAcentral.